UACGAAGGGGGCUAGCGUUGCUCGGAAUCACUGGGCGUAAAGCGCACGUAGGCGGAUUGCUAAGUCAGGGGUGAAAUCCUGGAGCUCAACUCCAGAACUGCCUUUGAUACUGGCGAUCUUGAGUCCGGGAGAGGUGAGUGGAACUGCGAGUGUAGAGGUGAAAUUCGUAGAUAUUCGCAAGAACACCAGUGGCGAAGGCGGCUUACUGGUCCGGUUCUGACGCUGAGGCGCGAAAGCCAGGGGAGCAAACGGG
Molecule: ribosomal RNA, 253 nt
Filed under: uncultured bacterium
Lineage: Bacteria
Description: partial 16S ribosomal RNA
Rfam family: Bacterial small subunit ribosomal RNA
Source: RNAcentral